RNAcentral lists this ribosomal RNA (253 nucleotides) under uncultured bacterium. RNAcentral describes it as "partial 16S ribosomal RNA". It matches the Rfam family "Bacterial small subunit ribosomal RNA", at positions 524 to 776 of the family's 1533-position model. The record is from RNAcentral.
UACGUAGGGUGCGAGCGUUGUCCGGAAUUAUUGGGCGUAAAGAGCUUGUAGGCGGUUUGUCGCGUCUGCCGUGAAAUUUCGAGGCUCAACCUCGAACUUGCGGUGGGUACGGGCAGACUAGAGUGUGGUAGGGGAGACUGGAAUUCCUGGUGUAGCGGUGAAAUGCGCAGAUAUCAGGAGGAACACCGAUGGCGAAGGCAGGUCUCUGGGCCACUACUGACGCUGAGAAGCGAAAGUAUGGGGAGCGAACAGG